Molecule: ribosomal RNA, 370 nt
Filed under: uncultured bacterium
Lineage: Bacteria
Description: bacterial SSU rRNA
Rfam family: Bacterial small subunit ribosomal RNA
Source: RNAcentral
AUACGUAGGUGGCAAGCGUUAUCCGGAAUUAUUGGGCGUAAAGAGUGAGCAGGCGGCCUUUUAAGUCUGAAGUCAAAUGCAGUGGCUCAACCACUGUUCGCUUUGGAAACUGAGAGGCUAGAGUACGAGAGAGGUAUAUGGAAUUCCAUGUGGAGCGGUGAAAUGCGUAGAUAUAUGGAGGAACACCAGUGGCGAAGGCGAUAUACUGGAUCGAUACUGACGCUCAGUCACGAAAGCGUGGGUAGCAAAUAGGAUUAGAUACCCUAGUAGUCCACGCCGUAAACGCUGAGAACUAAGUGUUGGGGUGAAACCCAGCGCUGAAGCUAACGCAUUAAGUUCUCCGCCUGAGGAGUACGGUCGCAAGACUGAA